GGGCUCACACAAGCGGUGGAGCAUGUGGUUCAAUUCGAAGCAACGCGCAGAACCUUACCUGGGCUUGACAUGCUAGGAUUAUCCCUAUGAAAGUAGGGUAGGCCCUUCGGGGUACAACUAGUACAGGUGCUGCAUGGCUGUCGUCAGCUCGUGUCGUGAGAUGUCGGGUUAAGUCCCUUAACGAGCGAAACCUUUGCCCUUAGUUACCAGCGGGUUAUGCCGGGGACUCUAAGGGGACUGCCGGUGUCAAACCGGAGGAAGGUGGAGAUGACGUCAAGUCCUCAUGGCCUUUAUGCCCAGGGCCACACACGUGCUACAAUGGCGUCCACAAAGCGAACCUAAAGCGCGAGCUCAUGGAAAUCGCAGAAAUGACGCCCCAGUUCAGAUCGGAGGCUGCAACUCGCCUCCGUGAAGUUGGAAUCGCUAGUAAUCGCGGAUCAGCUACGCCGCGGUGAAUGUGUUCCUGAGCCUU
This 472-nucleotide ribosomal RNA is filed under the name uncultured bacterium. RNAcentral describes it as "bacterial SSU rRNA". It matches the Rfam family "Bacterial small subunit ribosomal RNA", at positions 917 to 1382 of the family's 1533-position model. The record is from RNAcentral.